This 602-nucleotide ribosomal RNA is filed under the name uncultured bacterium. RNAcentral describes it as "bacterial SSU rRNA". It matches the Rfam family "Bacterial small subunit ribosomal RNA", at positions 60 to 674 of the family's 1533-position model. The record is from RNAcentral.
AGUCGACGGACUCAUAUUGAAACCUAGUGAUUUUUGUUUUAGUGGCGGACGGGUGAGUAACGCGUGGGUAACCUGCCGUAUACAGGGGGAUAACACUUAGAAAUAGGUGCUAAUACCGCAUAAGCGCACAGCUUCGCAUGGAGCAGUGUGAAAAGCGUAAACGGUAUACGAUGGACCCGCGUCUGAUUAGCUAGUUGGCGGGGUAGAGGCCCACCAAGGCGACGAUCAGUAGCCGGCCUGAGAGGGUGACCGGCCACAUUGGGACUGAGACACGGCCCAAACUCCUACGGGAGGCAGCAGUGGGGAAUAUUGCACAAUGGGGGGAACCCUGAUGCAGCGACGCCGCGUGAGUGAAGAAGUAUUUCGGUAUGUAAAGCUCUAUCAGCAGGGAAGAAAAUGACGGUACCUGACUAAGAAGCCCCGGCUAACUACGUGCCAGCAGCCGCGGUAAUACGUAGGGGGCAAGCGUUAUCCGGAUUUACUGGGUGUAAAGGGAGCGUAGACGGUUAUGCAAGUCUGAAGUGAAAGCCCAAGGCUCAACCAUGGGACUGCUUUGGAAACUGUAAAACUGGAGUGCAGGAGAGGUAAGCGGAAUUCCUAGU